GGGUAGAUACCGAAGUGGCCAAACGGGGCGGACUGUAAAUCCGCUGUCUCUGACUUCGCAGGUUCGAAUCCUGCUCUGCCCACCA
Molecule: transfer RNA, 85 nt
Filed under: Pseudomonadota bacterium
Lineage: Bacteria; Pseudomonadati; Pseudomonadota
Also listed under: 1 other name
Description: Proteobacteria bacterium (freshwater metagenome) tRNA-Tyr
Rfam family: tRNA
About the family: Transfer RNA (tRNA) molecules are approximately 80 nucleotides in length. Their secondary structure includes four short double-helical elements and three loops (D, anti-codon, and T loops).
Source: RNAcentral